Molecule: ribosomal RNA, 229 nt
Filed under: uncultured bacterium
Lineage: Bacteria
Description: partial 16S ribosomal RNA
Rfam family: Bacterial small subunit ribosomal RNA
Source: RNAcentral
UGCGUAGGCGGAAUAUUAAGUCAGUGGUGAAAUCCUGCGGCUCAACCGUAGAACUGCCAUUGAUACUGAUAUUCUUGAAUAUAGUUGAGGUAAGCGGAAUGUGUAAUGUAGCGGUGAAAUGCUUAGAUAUUACACAGAACACCGAUUGCGAAGGCAGCUUGCUAAACUAUUAUUGACGCUGAUGCACGAAAGCGUGGGGAGCGAACAGGAUUAGAUACCCUGGUAGUCC